Molecule: long non-coding RNA, 282 nt
Organism: Pollicipes pollicipes
Lineage: Eukaryota; Metazoa; Arthropoda; Thecostraca; Pollicipedomorpha; Pollicipedidae
Exons: 3
Source: RefSeq, a predicted model, not a curated record
CCUACUUUGAAACACUCUUUCAAGACCACACAGAGACCCACCCUAUUGUGAUACUGAAGGAUGUCAAGUUCACCGAACUCAGGAGCAUCAUCGAGUUCAUGUACAAGGGCGAGGUCGAGGUCGAGAAGAAUGAUCUGGACUCGCUCUUCUCGACCGCCGAGGGCCUGAUGAUCAGAGGGCUGACCGGGUCACGACCCGCCAUGGGCGGCAUCACGCCGCGCCAGCCGGCGCCCCCGGACGACCCCGUCCACCGAAAACGCCCAAAACCAGAGCCGUUCGAGG